GACGAACGCUGGCGGCGUGCUUAACACAUGCAAGUCGAACGGAAAGGCCCUGCUUUUGUGGGGUGCUCGAGUGGCGAACGGGUGAGUAACACGUGAGUAACCUGCCCUUGACUUUGGGAUAACUUCAGGAAACUGGGGCUAAUACCGGAUAGGAGCUCCUGCUGCAUGGUGGGGGUUGGAAAGUUUCGGCGGUUGGGGAUGGACUCGCGGCUUAUCAGCUUGUUGGUGGGGUAGUGGCUUACCAAGGCUUUGACGGGUAGCCGGCCUGGGAGGGUGACCGGCCACAUUGGGACUGAGAUACGGCCCAGACUCCUACGGGAGGCAGCAGUGGGGAAUAUUGCACAAUGGGCGGAAGCCUGAUGCAGCAACGCCGCAUGCGGGAUGACGGCCUUCGGGUUGUAAACCGCUUUCGCCUGUGACGAAGCGUGAGUGACGGUAAUGGGUAAAGAAGCACCGGCUAACUACGUG
RNAcentral lists this ribosomal RNA (468 nucleotides) under uncultured bacterium. RNAcentral describes it as "partial 16S ribosomal RNA". It matches the Rfam family "Bacterial small subunit ribosomal RNA", at positions 28 to 507 of the family's 1533-position model. The record is from RNAcentral.